AUACGGAGGACGCGAGCGUUAUCCGGAUUCAUUGGGUUUAAAGGGUGCGCAGGCGGCCGUGCAAGUCAGCGGUGAAAGCCCGGGGCUCAACCCCGGAAGUGCCGUUGAUACUGCAUGGCUGGAAUGCGGUCGAGGCGGGCGGAACGUGGCGUGUAGCGGGGAAAUGCGGAGAUAUGCCACAGAACGCCGAUAGCGGGGGCAGCGCGCCAGGCCUGCAUUGACGCUCGGGCACGAAAGCGUGGGGAUCGAACAGGAUUAGAUACCCUGGUAGUCCACGCCGUAAACGAUGGGCGCUCGUCGUCGGCGGCAGACAGUCGGCGGCCAAGCGAAAGCGAUAAGCGCCCCACCUGGGGAGUACGGUCGCAAGGCUGAAACUUAAAGGAAUUGACGGGG
RNAcentral lists this ribosomal RNA (393 nucleotides) under uncultured bacterium. RNAcentral's name for it is "partial 16S ribosomal RNA". It matches the Rfam family "Bacterial small subunit ribosomal RNA", at positions 523 to 918 of the family's 1533-position model. The record is from RNAcentral.